RNAcentral lists this small nucleolar RNA (91 nucleotides) under Galerina marginata CBS 339.88. RNAcentral's name for it is "Small nucleolar RNA snR60/Z15/Z230/Z193/J17". It matches the Rfam family "Small nucleolar RNA snR60/Z15/Z230/Z193/J17". From Rfam's summary of the family: The members of this family belong to the C/D class of snoRNAs which contain the C (UGAUGA) and D (CUGA) box motifs. Most of the members of the box C/D family function in directing site-specific 2'-O-methylation of substrate RNAs. The record is from Rfam by way of RNAcentral. Lineage: Eukaryota; Fungi; Basidiomycota; Agaricomycetes; Agaricales; Galerinaceae.
ACGAUGAAAACAACCAUUUGCAUAGUUCACGCUGAAACGAUCGUGUUGAUACUUAGCAUCUAAUGUCUUUCGCUCCUAUCUGAUUCUUCCU